RNAcentral lists this ribosomal RNA (533 nucleotides) under uncultured bacterium. RNAcentral describes it as "bacterial SSU rRNA". It matches the Rfam family "Bacterial small subunit ribosomal RNA", at positions 977 to 1509 of the family's 1533-position model. The record is from RNAcentral.
GGCCUUGACAUACUAAGAACUUUCCAGAGAUGGAUUGGUGCCUUCGGGAACUUAGAUACAGGUGCUGCAUGGCUGUCGUCAGCUCGUGUCGUGAGAUGUUGGGUUAAGUCCCGNAACGAGCGCAACCCUUUUCCUUAUUUGCCAGCGGGUCAUGCCGGGAACUUUAAGGAUACUGCCAGUGACAAACUGGAGGAAGGCGGGGACGACGUCAAGUCAUCAUGGCCCUUACGGCCAGGGCUACACACGUGCUACAAUGGUCGGUACAAAGGGUUGCUACCUCGCGAGAGGAUGCUAAUCUCAAAAAGCCGAUCGUAGUCCGGAUCGCAGUCUGCAACUCGACUGCGUGAAGUCGGAAUCGCUAGUAAUCGCGGAUCAGAAUGCCGCGGUGAAUACGUUCCCGGGCCUUGUACACACCGCCCGUCACACCAUGGGAGUUUGUUGCACCAGAAGUAGGUAGUCUAACCGCAAGGAGGACGCUUACCACGGUGUGGCCGAUGACUGGGGUGAAGUCGUAACAAGGUAGGCGUAGAUGA